RNAcentral lists this ribosomal RNA (796 nucleotides) under uncultured marine bacterium. Its description in RNAcentral is "bacterial SSU rRNA". It matches the Rfam family "Bacterial small subunit ribosomal RNA", at positions 56 to 901 of the family's 1533-position model. The record is from RNAcentral.
UGCAGUCGAACGAAGUAGCAAUACUUAGUGGCAGACGGGUGAGUAACAUGUGGGUAUCUUCCCUUUGGCCUGGAAUAACACGAGGAAACUUGUGCUAAUACUGGAUAAGUCUUUACGGAGAAAGCUUUAUGCACCAUUGGAUGAGCCUGCACUUGAUUAGUUUGUUGGUGGGGUAAUGGCCUACCAAGACUUUGAUCAAUAGCUGAUUUGAGAGGAUGAUCAGCCACAUUGGGACUGAGACACGGCCCAAACUCCUACGGGAGGCAGCAGUGGGGAAUCUUGCACAAUGGAGGAAACUCUGAUGCAGCGAUGCCGCGUGAGUGAAGAAGGCCUUUGGGUUGUAAAGCUCUUUCGUCGGGGAAGAAAAUGACUGUACCCGAAUAAGAAGGUCCGGCUAACUUCGUGCCAGCAGCCGCGGUAAUACGAAGGGACCUAGCGUAGUUCGGAAUUACUGGGCUUAAAGAGUUCGUAGGUGGUUGAAAAAGUUGGUGGUGAAAUCCCAGAGCUUAACUCUGGAACUGCCAUCAAAACUUUUCAGCUAGAGUUUGAUAGAGGAAAGCAGAAUUUCUAGUGUAGAGGUGAAAUUCGUAGAUAUUAGAAAGAAUACCAAUUGCGAAGGCAGCUUUCUGGAUCAUUACUGACACUGAGGAACGAAAGCACGGGUAGCGAAGAGGAUUAGAUACCCUCGUAGUCCAUGCCGUAAACGAUGUGUGUUAGACGUUGGAAAUCUAUUUUCAGUGUCGCAGCGAAAGCGAUAAACACACCGCCUGGGGAGUACGACCGCAAGGUUAAAACU